GACGAACGCUGGCGGCGUGCUUAACACAUGCAAGUCGAACGGUAAGGCCCUGCUUUUGUGGGGUGCUCGAGUGGCGAACGGGUGAGUAACACGUGAGUAACCUGCCCUUGACUUUGGGAUAACUUCAGGAAACUGGGGCUAAUACCGGAUAGGAGCUCCUGCUGCAUGGUGGGGGUUGGAAAGUUUCGGCGGUUGGGGAUGGACUCGCGGCUUAUCAGCUUGUUGGUGGGGUAGUGGCUUACCAAGGCUUGGACGGGUAGCCGGCCUGAGAGGGUGACCGGCCACUUUGGGCCUGAGAUCCGGCCCAGACUCCUACGGGGGGCAGCGGUGGGGAAUAUUGAACAAUGGGCGGAAGCCUGAUGCAGCAACGCCGCGUGCUGGAUGACGGCCUUCGGGUUGUAAACCGCUUUCGCCUGUGACGAAGCGUGAGUGACGGUAAUGGGUAAAGAAGCACCGGCUAACUACGUG
This 468-nucleotide ribosomal RNA is filed under the name uncultured bacterium. Its description in RNAcentral is "partial 16S ribosomal RNA". It matches the Rfam family "Bacterial small subunit ribosomal RNA", at positions 28 to 507 of the family's 1533-position model. The record is from RNAcentral.